GGUGGAGGAGUGUCCACCACUGUCUGCAUGUCCACGGCCGUGGAUCAUAUAGGGCCGGAGGUGGCGGUGGCCAGGGAGCAGGCUGGGGCAGUAGGGCCCUGCGGAGCACUGAGGUGCGCAGCCCAGAAAAGGGGGUCCGAGGAGGGGGCGGGCAGAAGGCACUCCUGGCAGUGUUGAAUCCAAAGCUAGAAUCACAGGAGCAAGAAGCCUUGGGUAGGAUUUCACCCACAUGCCUGUGACGUGUCCCUGGGACACCUGCUGAAUGCCAACAGAAACAGUAAACAGGAAAUGCUUGCUGGGGCUCGGUGGGCGAUGCCUGGCCUGGGCCCGGGCAGGAGGGUCUGGCACAGGGCUGCCUGUGCUGAGCACUGUGUGUCUGGGACUCUAUUAAGGGGCUGGGGUGGUCUCAGAGUCCCCUCCUCCUGAGCUCAGCUCACUAAGCUCGCCCUAGGAGGACAGGAAGGGUGGAGGCCUCCACGCCAGGAAGCUGGGCUUCCAUUUCCACCUGCUCUGACAUAAAGCAGGGCUAGGGUGCCCUAGACCUGCACUGACACCAGAGGGGUCCCUCUGGGCCUCAGUCUCCCCAGCUGCACAGAGUAGGGCCACUGGGUGUUUGCUUAGGGCCUGGCCCCCUCCAACAUUCUGGGGCUUUUGGUAUAGAGUCUGGGGCCAGAGAGAGGCGUGGGGUAAUGACAAAGACUGUGGCCACCAGUCAGGGACUCUUGGAGUCCAAGGUCCUCACCCUCAGCAGCGCCUUCUGUGCUGGGCCCCAUCAGCAAUGUGGAGUGCAGGGGUGUGGUUCUUGGGCUCAGAUGAGGAAGCCAAGGGACUUGCCAGGCCCUGCAGGCGGCAGUGCUGGGAUGACCUUGGGCUGAUGUGCCGCAGGCCUGUCCACCUAUAGGAGCUGAAUGGGUGAUGGGUCAGGCAGCCUGAAGGCCCCCGCCUCAUCCCAGGAUGCCUGCCGGGUCCUCUCCCAAGACUGGUCACUUGUCCCUCCCGGUCUCCCUGAUGCUCCCCAGGGAGGGAUGGCCGGCUUCAGGACUCGGGUUCUGACUGCUGAGUGCUCCUCUGCGCCUCGCAAUGUCCGGUCCUGAGCCUGUGCUCCACAAGCCCCCACAGAUGUCCCAGAACCAGGCCACCCCCCAGGAGCAGGGGGAACAAAGGCAGCCUGGGAGUGGGAGGGGCCCGGCCUACAGCCCCCAGCAUGAGGGCAGCUGCCAGGGAAGGCACUCAGCUCCGAUUCCAGGCGCAAAGGGGCCUACAGCUGGGCACAGGUGCCUUGGACGGCCCACUGGACUCCCGUUCCCGUCUUCCACAUAGGAGCAUGUCAAAGCCACUUCUGGACUGGAGCUGCAGCAAAGGGCUGUGCUCCGACUGCCCACACCCAAAGACCUGGCCAGCUCGACAACCAGGAGUCAGCUGGGACAGUGCUUUAGUCCCCCAGGCUCCUGCCCCUCCACAGCCAGCACCAGGGGACCUGUGGGAACUGACUGGGUGAGUGAGAUCCUUGGCAUGGGUGUGGCAUGCCUGUUGGCAUCCUGGGGAAGUAUCAGUGCCAGGGCCUUCAGGAAAGCCAGCCGAUUCUGUACUCAGUUUUCUCGUCUGUAAAAUGGGCAGGGUGUUCUCCAGGGGCCUGUGGCUCCUGUCCUCAGCUGGCUCGGCCAGCACUGCCCGCAGUGCCCACCCCUCACCCCUCAGAGGCAACCUCCUGGGCCCCAGCAGCCCCUGCUCUCCUGCCUGGGCCCUUUGAGCUUGGGGUCCCCCAGGAAUCUUGCUCUCAAGCCACUCACAUCUGUGCACACAGGAGGCAGAUAGGCGGGGACAGGCAGCGCCUGGGCCAGUGAAGAGCAGCCUGCCCCCUGCUGCUGGGCGCAGGCGGCAGUGCCAAGCUGUACUUGGAGCAGAACGGGGACAACAGGCACGUGGAAGGUGGGGGAGGCAGGCUGCACGCGGAGGCCACAGCCCAGGGCCAGGCACAGAUGGGGAGACUGAGGCCAUGAAGAUGUUCUCAUGCAGCCGGAGGCUGACUUCCAGGCCAUGUCCAGCACUGGACAAGGACCAAGAUCAAGCUCAACAUGGAGAAGCCCCUGCUGCACAUGCCAGACUGUCUGGGGGAAGCUGUCACCAGGCAUGUCCAGCUAGGACACCUGCCAGCUCUCUGACCCACUGUGCUUGGGACCGGUCUCCACACUAGCUCUGAUGUUGGGGCUCAGUGGCACCAACUACAAAAUGGAAAGCAGACCCUGCCUCCGGCUCCCCAAGUGUCUUCUGGCUGCCUUCCGUCCAUCAAGGGCUCCCUGUUGGGCCCUGGUCAGAUUGGCCUCCUGGCAGCCCAGGCCACACACCCUGCCUGGGGAGAUGUCUGCCUCCACUGUGAGGCUGGCCAGGGCACAUCCCCAGGGGAGGGGGGCAGCUCUCCAGGCCACCGUCCCCUCCCUUCUCGUGCUGGACCUGGAGUACUCAGAGCAGCUCCGGCUCAGGGAAGGGGCAGUGGAGAGAGCUGUGGU
This 2507-nucleotide long non-coding RNA is filed under the name Marmota monax (woodchuck). The record is from RNAcentral. Lineage: Eukaryota; Metazoa; Chordata; Mammalia; Rodentia; Sciuridae.